This 107-nucleotide ribosomal RNA is filed under the name Candidatus Campbellbacteria bacterium RIFOXYC2_FULL_35_25. The record is from RNAcentral. Lineage: Bacteria; Candidatus Campbelliibacteriota.
GUUGGUGCUUCGUCGGAAGGGGUACACCCGUUCUCAUUCCGCACACGGCAGUUAAGCCUUCUAGAGCCGAUGAUACUCUUUAUGGGGAAAGUAGGUAGGCGCCAACA